UGUAAAAGCUAGUGUCUCGUGAGAAUACCCCUUAACGAGAGUACACGAGACCUUUCAUGGACUGCGAGGGAGCAGAUGUCUCUCAUGAAGCGAUUUUAAGCUAAAAGGUUUACUAAAAGAAAAGGUAACACAAAGACUUAAGGACCUCUUUUCAGGACAAGCAGCCAACGAGUUCUCACGGCGUAAAGGCGUAAUGGCGUAUCGGCGUACUGGUGAUGGUGAAGCUGAGGAGAGAAAGCUCAAGUAAUAAACGCCCGUUUCAAA
Oreochromis niloticus (Nile tilapia) is the source of this 264-nucleotide long non-coding RNA. RefSeq lists it as uncharacterized. The transcript has 2 exons. The record is from RefSeq and is a predicted model, not a curated record. NCBI's taxonomy places the organism in Eukaryota, Metazoa, Chordata, Actinopteri, Cichliformes, Cichlidae.